UUUUACGCAAAACACCUCAGACGGACUCUCGACGGCCUAUUAAGUGGAUCGAUUUUCUUUGGUGGGGCCGAGGGAUCCAUUUUCCAAGUCAAAUGGACGAAUGACAAAAAUUAUAGGUUUUAGGCGAAACUUCUCGAGUGGUCUUCCGACGGCCUAUUAAAUGGAUUGAGUUGCUAUGGUGCGAUCUAGAGAGACGUCAGGGGCUCGAUCCAUGAGGUAAGCCAACACCCAGUAUGAAAGAAAUACAUGACUUAAAAAUUAUAACGUAAAGUCAUUAGGUGAUGCCCAAAGGUACUAUUAUGUAAAAAAUUACAGCUGCCCAUAACUACCAAGGUCGUGAUUCUUCGCCUUCCAGCUAUACCAAUUGGAAACAUUUAGCCAGGUGUGAUCAUCUGCGGUGGCAGAUUCAAUGAUAUGGGCGACCCAAAGACAGAGGGUAUCGACUUGUUCUCAGAAACCGUUGCUUGGGGAUGGAUGCCGCCGAGGAGUUAUGAAAAACAAGCAACGGAACGAGUCAAAAUAGAGGGGUGGAGGAGAAAACAGAAGAGACAGACAGAUUUUUCUGAGGCACUUAUGUGGGUAUUCCAAUGAAAUGGAGCAUGGCGAAAGAAAGCUACUCCAAGGGUACAAUAACAAAGCAGUUAGACCACCCGUGAUCCUGUGGAUUUUCUUUCUUUCCUCAGUGAUUCAAUUUGAUCAACUCCCUUCACCUUCCGCAACAAGCUAGGUGGAUAAAGCAGUAGAAGAUGUGCUAGGGGAAAGCUGACGCCUGACAUACGGGAGAGAGUAUCAAAGGAGGCAAUGGUUUGCCAUACCUCUGGGUUUAGUUGACCUAGGGAUAAUUAGAAUGUAUUAAAGAAGGAGAAAAUCACCUAGUCGAUAGGAUCACCCAGACCAGUACUAAAUGAGUGUGUAGAAGAAGGAUAACAUGGGUGGUUGGAGAUGACGCUAUCAGUGGAUCCUGGGGUCCUUACUCGAACCUCGAUUUCAGGCAAAACACAGUCCUUGAUAACAUUGGGAGCAAUAUUAUUUCUGAUGAGGGAGUCCAACUUGUAAACUGACACAAGGGAUUCAUCGCUCGCCUGUUCGGUAAUAUCUUUUGGAAAUUUAAAAUUGACAGGCACUAUAUCGUUAACAUGAGUCUGGUGGAUUUUUUAUUCUUAACCUUAGGCGAGCCAGAUCUAGGAGAUGAAUUUUUUUUCCUUUUGCAUGAGUAAAAGGGGGCAAAGAGAAAGGAACGAACAUAUUGUUCGUCCAUUUAAAGACAGCAAGUUGGGGGAUUUUGAUCAUAAAAUUUCUUCCGAAUUUAAGAGAACGCAGGUGACGGUGAGGAUCGCGUUGGCUAGAGGAUUUGAGUGACAUAUUCCUGGUGAACCCCGCAAUUGUUUGCGUGGGCUAUAGUUUAUUUAUUCGUUAUGAUUCUUUUUCUUGAAAAACUCUUAGUUGCUCCAUAGUCAUGUCUUUAGAGUUUUGAAUCUUUCGUUGUUUUGGAUGUGUAGAAUAUUGGAUUUCCUCUCAUAUUUUGGAGAUGGAUUUUAUGUUGUCAUUUGGUGGUAUUAGUGACUUGUUAAUCAUUUGUGGUGGAUUGUGUUGAUGUUGUUGAAGUGUUGAUUGUGGUGCUGUUGAUUUGAGAAAGGGAAAUUUUCUUGUUAGGCUCCAAAACAGGGGAAAUUCUGCCUGAUUUUCUGUAGAAUUUUGACGAGGCUUGCUUUGGAGUCCUAAACUCCUUAGCGCCGGUCAUGAUCCUAUUUUGGGUCGUGACAAUAAAAAAGAAGUCAGUCACCAACAGGCACA
Long non-coding RNA from Capsicum annuum, 1794 nucleotides. RefSeq lists it as uncharacterized. NCBI's taxonomy places the organism in Eukaryota, Viridiplantae, Streptophyta, Magnoliopsida, Solanales, Solanaceae. The transcript is spliced from 2 exons. The record is from RefSeq and is a predicted model, not a curated record.